UUCAAAAGUAAAAUCUCUUGGUAAGUAGUUUGUAUCCAUAAAAAAUACAGCUGACAUACUCCCAAAUUGUUUUUCGUUAAAAACAACCCCAUUUUGGGAAACUUAAAAACUGUUUCGAACACCUUUCACACUUUAAAUUUCGCAGUGUUAGGGGUGGCCCAAUAAUCAAGUGUGACACAUAAAGGACACGCGCACCCUUUCGCUUAUCCUUUUGGCAGAUGAAACCAAAACACCAAACAAAAUCGUUCAAAAAUACACGAAAAAACUGAAAUUGGCAAUAAAAACUAAAAAAAAAAUCGAAUUUCAUGUCACGCUUGGCAAACUAGCUCGAAAUCACAGCCGCGCCCCUUCAUUAAAGCGAGGGGCUCAAUCAAGGAAGAGUUGUGGAAACCAACUUGAAAAUGGGUGAAAAAAAUUGCAAAUUGAUACAAAAAAGAGGAGAGCAAAGGGAAACGACGACAGGCGCACAAAAGGGGCCUGUCAGCUCGUGCGUGGUUGAUUGUAGGGUUGAGCUCUGCCAGGAUAACUGAGCACGUGCGCAACGAAAGGAUUUGCAAAAAAAAAAAAAAAAAAUGAAAACAAUACAAUAUAGCGCAACAAAAAAUGAAAAUUUCAUUGAUUUUCCAAAUGAAAAUGCGUUAAUUUUUGAGCUGCAGCACUUGCGGGUGCUGCCUGGGGAGGCAGACAGGAUAACAGUCAGAACAAUAAUGAUUACGAGGAGCGGUAGCCUUUCACAUGGGUAGCAACCCCUUCGACCAGCAGUCGCAAUUAGAUGACUCGUAUAUGUUGCCCAACGCCUGCUGCAAGGACACGCACAACAUGGUCAGUCGGCGGCUACCUUCAAUUCGCAUGACCAGCGUAUCCAUAUCCCUUUAGAGCAACCCCCGACGAAAAUGGCACAGCACACAGCACUCUGGACACGACAGCUGGUCAGUGUAGGUCAGCGAGUGACCUACAAAUGCCGCCAAAAAUGAACAGCCAAAAGAACUGACUGGCCAAAAAGGAUGCUACAGACUCGUAGUGCUUGUCCAUUUGAUGGACGCACCCUGAACUGACAAUUUUAAUGAGCCGAACGGCAGGCAAAAUUCCCUCAUAAUAUAGAACAAACAAAAA
This is a long non-coding RNA of Drosophila mojavensis, 1113 nucleotides long. RefSeq lists it as uncharacterized. Lineage: Eukaryota; Metazoa; Arthropoda; Insecta; Diptera; Drosophilidae. The record is from RefSeq and is a predicted model, not a curated record. The transcript has 2 exons.